Molecule: unclassified non-coding RNA, 436 nt
Filed under: Hevea brasiliensis (rubber tree)
Lineage: Eukaryota; Viridiplantae; Streptophyta; Magnoliopsida; Malpighiales; Euphorbiaceae
Source: RNAcentral
AGGAAUAGCAACACUAUCAAACGUAGCAGUAUUAACAAAUGAUUUACAAGGAAUAGCAGCAAGUUUACAUGGUAUUACCAUUCUCUCUCAUCAACAUUAAUCAAGCCCCACCAAAAACCCAAAGAAAGACAAGCAUGAUACACAACAAAUGACAACAAAAGUAUUUGCGAGAUUCUUGCAUCUUUAAUAUAUGGCAAAACUUCAAAUGUGGCACAGGCUAAGCCGGCUUCUGCAUCUUAUUAUCCAUCAAUGCUAUAUGUUCAUGCUGGCAGCACAUUCUGGAUGAACUACUAAUAUUUUGUACAUAACAAAUCAAUCCUCAUUCACCAAUAGAAAACCUAACGAGAUCAGAUGUCUGAUAUUCUAUCUUGUGCAUCUGGAGGAAUCUCCCUUCCUGGGACUUGAACCUUCAGAAGAUUAGCAUACCUACAAAAAA